This 497-nucleotide ribosomal RNA is filed under the name uncultured bacterium. RNAcentral's name for it is "partial 16S ribosomal RNA". It matches the Rfam family "Bacterial small subunit ribosomal RNA", at positions 28 to 507 of the family's 1533-position model. The record is from RNAcentral.
GAUGAACGCUGGCGGCGUGCCUAAUACAUGCAAGUCGAGCGAGCAGACGAGGAGCUUGCUCCUCUGAUGUUAGCGGCGGACGGGUGAGUAACACGUGGAUAACCUACCUAUAAGACUGGGAUAACUUCGGGAAACCGGAGCUAAUACCGGAUAAUAUAUUGAACCGCAUGGUUCAAUAGUGAAAGACGGUUUUGCUGUCACUUAUAGAUGGAUCCGCGCCGCAUUAGCUAGUUGGUAAGGUAACGGCUUACCAAGGCAACGAUGCGUAGCCGACCUGAGAGGGUGAUCGGCCACACUGGAACUGAGACACGGUCCAGACUCCUACGGGAGGCAGCAGUAGGGAAUCUUCCGCAAUGGGCGAAAGCCUGACGGAGCAACGCCGCGUGAGUGAUGAAGGUCUUCGGAUCGUAAAACUCUGUUAUUAGGGAAGAACAAAUGUGUAAGUAACUAUGCACGUCUUGACGGUACCUAAUCAGAAAGCCACGGCUAACUACGUG